Pantherophis guttatus is the source of this 1137-nucleotide non-coding RNA. NCBI's taxonomy places the organism in Eukaryota, Metazoa, Chordata, Lepidosauria, Squamata, Colubridae. The record is from RefSeq and is a predicted model, not a curated record.
ACUGUCAGCUACUGUUAUCAGUUGUCAGAGUGAAGAUGUCUUCCAGGAUGGAAUUUUUUAAAAAAUGUUUUCACUGUCUUGGGAGAGGGGAAAAAGCCUGCAACAAGCAGCAACCCAGGAGCUGGUGUUCCAAAUUCUAUGGCAGGAACAAUAUGCAGACUGAAGGACACCCCCAAGGCCCCUAGGAGAACAAAACGUAAAAUUUGUGACCGAUAUGGAAAUCCAAAAAGUGGAAUGGUGUGCCCAGGGAAAAAGAAGCUCUUCUUCAUUAAAACAGAAACCCAUCAAGCACGUAAGGCCCAACAUGAGACUGCCUGUGCCAGAAGAGACCUGCGGUAAGCCAAAAUUUUGACAAAGAGGUCCAUGAGAGCAGCCAAAAAAGUUCUGUUGGAGGACAACCAGUUAAACAGCAACACUGCAGGACUAGCUGUAUUGCUAUGUCAAUCUCUGGUUUUGGUAGUGAGUAUGGAAAAUCUGUUUGCAAUACUCAAAGAGUAAGAAGAGGGAGAAUAAAAAUCAGAAGAAGUAAAACAUGACUUCAUCUAUUAGAACAGUUAUACCUCCUAGGUCAGAAGGCGUUUCAGUCACUCACACCCUGGACAGCUUGCAAUUUGACUACUACAGCAAUCUCCACAUAGGGCUGCUCUUGAAUACGACCUGGAAGCUUCAGUUGGACCAUGGCCAAUUUAGCUGUCGACUUUGGAUUCUCUGCUUCUUUUCCUUCUUGUUUCCUGUCAGGAUCUCUUGGAAAAGACAAUAUUUUAAGCAGUUUCACUGUAGAACUAGCUGCAUUGCUCACAAUAGAUGACAUCAGUUCAGCCUUUUGUUUCUUUCGUAAUCAGUAAGGAAAAUUCGUCUACGCUACUCAGCGAAUAAGAAGAGGGAGGCCUUUCAGAAAGUCACUCACACCCUUUACCUUGACUACCACAACCACGUCACAUAGGGCUGGCCUUUUUUUUUUUUUUAAAUUGAAAAGACAGUGCCAUGUCAGGAUAACAAUGCAAAUAAAGUACAACCAGAGAGAGAUCCAUGAUAAAUAACAUACAUGCUAAUAACUAUAACUGUACUAUGUUAACGGUAAUUGCAACAAUACAACAACAACAAAACCAAAAGAAAAUAAAAUAAAACUUCAACUAA